RNAcentral lists this ribosomal RNA (253 nucleotides) under uncultured bacterium. RNAcentral's name for it is "partial 16S ribosomal RNA". It matches the Rfam family "Bacterial small subunit ribosomal RNA", at positions 524 to 776 of the family's 1533-position model. The record is from RNAcentral.
UACGUAGGGUGCAAGCGUUGUCCGGAAUUAUUGGGCGUAAAGGGCUCGUAGGCGGUUUGUCGCGUCGGGAGUGAAAUCAUCUGGCUUAACUGGGUGCUUGCUUUCGAUACGGGCAGACUAGAGGUAUGCAGGGGAGAACGGAAUUCCUGGUGUAGCGGUGAAAUGCGCAGAUAUCAGGAGGAACACCGGUGGCGAAGGCGGUUCUCUGGGCAUGAUCUGACGCUGAGGAGCGGAAGUGUGGGGAGCGAACAGG